This 311-nucleotide long non-coding RNA is filed under the name Elaeis guineensis (African oil palm). RNAcentral's name for it is "long non-coding RNA (EGUI_LNC038601)". Lineage: Eukaryota; Viridiplantae; Streptophyta; Magnoliopsida; Arecales; Arecaceae. The record is from RNAcentral.
UUGAUCCUCCACAAGUGGGAAUGCCUCCACAGUGUACUCAAAUUUUUCCUUGUCUUUGAACUCAUUCGCAAGCCAAUCUAGCAGCACCCUCUUGACCAAGCUCCAAGUGAACACCACGAUCCCCUCCCACUCUUCUUCGAUGAUUCCAUCUCCUCCUUUGGGCACUCGAGCACCUUCAUGAAGAAAUGCUAUGAUUUCUCCACUUCUUUAACAAUUGUGUAGAAGGUCCACACCGAUUGACACAGGGGACCCUAAGUGACCUUCAUCCAUAACUGAUUCCCCUUGCUAGAGUCCGACAACACUUGGCCCCC